UAUCUCUGUAGAGUCUGCAUAUCAAUAAGCGGAGGAAAAGAAACUAACUAGGACUUCCCUCAGUAACGGCGAGUGAAGCGGGAAGAGCUCAAAUUUGAAAUCUUCAAGGUUCUACCUUGACGAAUUGUAGUUUAAAGAAGUGUUUUCUGUUGGAGUUUUGGUAAAAGUUCUUUGGAAUAGGACAUCAUAGAGGGUGAGAAUCCCGUAUUUGACCAUUAUUUCCAGCUUUGUGAUACACUUUCAAAGAGUCGGAUUGUUUGGGAAUGCAGUCCAAAAUGGGUGGUAAAUUUCAUCUAAAGCUAAAUAUUGGCGAGAGACCGAUAGCGAACAAGUACCGUGAGGGAAAGAUGAAAAGAACUUUGAAAAGAGAGUUAAACAGUACGUGAAAUUGUCAAAAGGGAAGCGUUUGACACCAGUGUUGUUUCUACGAAAAUCAAUUUAUGAUGGCUUGAUGCUAAGCUUUAAGACUUUAUCCGCUUGUUGUUUAGUUUUCUUGUCUUUGUGAAUGCACUUUUCGUGGAACAAGUCAACAUCAAUUUCUUUUGCUGUAAAAGGGUAAGAGGAAGGUGGCUUCGGCUUCGGUUGAAGUGUUUAUAGCCUUUUAUCUCUGCAGUCGGAGAGAUUGAGGUCUGCAGCGUAGACUCUUCGGGGUUAGAUACGUCGGUGCUAAGCUAUAGCUUUUCAUAGACAACUUGUUGACUAUGUUUAGUCAUGUGGCUUACCCGCUGGCGCUAUUUUACCUACGCUUAGGAUGUUGAGUCAUCACACAUCUCU
Molecule: ribosomal RNA, 774 nt
Filed under: uncultured Neocallimastigales
Lineage: Eukaryota; Fungi; Neocallimastigomycota; Neocallimastigomycetes; Neocallimastigales
Description: partial large subunit ribosomal RNA
Rfam family: Eukaryotic large subunit ribosomal RNA
Source: RNAcentral